GCCUUCGUGGUGUAACGGUAGCACACUCGGCGCAUAUUCGAGAGGUCCAGGAUCGAAUCCCGGCGAGGGCA
RNAcentral lists this transfer RNA (71 nucleotides) under Stegodyphus mimosarum. It matches the Rfam family "tRNA". Rfam says of the family: Transfer RNA (tRNA) molecules are approximately 80 nucleotides in length. The record is from Rfam by way of RNAcentral. Lineage: Eukaryota; Metazoa; Arthropoda; Arachnida; Araneae; Eresidae.